GAUGAACGCUGGCGGCGUGCCUAACACAUGCAAGUCGAACGGACUUACAUUGAAGCCUAGCGAUAUGUAAGUUAGUGGCGGACGGGUGAGUAACGCGUGGGUAACCUGCCGUAUACAGGGGGAUAACACUUAGAAAUAGGUGCUAAUACCGCAUAAGCGCACAGUUUCGCAUGGAACAGUGUGAAAAACUCCGGUGGUAUACGAUGGACCCGCGUCUGAUUAGCUAGUUGGUGAGGUAACGGCUCACCAAGGCGACGAUCAGUAGCCGGCCUGAGAGGGUGAACGGCCACAUUGGGACUGAGACACGGCCCAAACUCCUACGGGAGGCAGCAGUGGGGAAUAUUGCACAAUGGGGGAAACCCUGAUGCAGCGACGCCGCGUGAGUGAAGAAGUAUUUCGGUAUGUAAAGCUCUAUCAGCAGGGAAGAAGAAAUGACGGUACCUGACUAAGAAGCACCGGCUAAAUACGUG
RNAcentral lists this ribosomal RNA (470 nucleotides) under uncultured bacterium. RNAcentral describes it as "bacterial SSU rRNA". It matches the Rfam family "Bacterial small subunit ribosomal RNA", at positions 28 to 507 of the family's 1533-position model. The record is from RNAcentral.